Stegostoma tigrinum is the source of this 1860-nucleotide long non-coding RNA. RefSeq lists it as uncharacterized. The record is from RefSeq and is a predicted model, not a curated record. The transcript has 3 exons. NCBI's taxonomy places the organism in Eukaryota, Metazoa, Chordata, Chondrichthyes, Orectolobiformes, Stegostomatidae.
CGACUUAUUAAAAAAUAACAAAAGAACUGGGAUGUUGUCAAUCAGGAACAAAAACAAAGUUGCUGGAAAAGCUCAGCAGGUCUGGCAGCAUCUGUGAAGGUAAAAAGACAGAUCCAGUUUUCAGUCUCAUUCGUCUCAAAAUGCAACAUUGCGACGACGUUCAUUUGCUUCCAACAAUAACACAAAGCACUGCGCAUGCUCCAGCUCACAGUGAAGUCCGGCUGAUUGAUGUCAGUGCGCGACCAAUAGGAGCACAGGUGUGCCGUGCAUGACCGGACGGAUGUCGCCCAAUCGGAAUGAAGGGAGGGCGGGAUCAGUGAAAACCACGUGAUCAUCCACGAGUGCGGUGCAGAGUCGCUGAGAUAACCGGAACUGCAGAUGCUGGAGAAUCCGAGAUAACACGGUGUGCAGCUGGAUGUACACAGCAGGAAAGCUGACGUUUCGGGCCUAGAUCCUUCGCUGAGACCAAGAUUUGUGCAAUUGAGAUACCAGCGAUCGUUGCCAAAGCCCUGUUACCUGUGGAGAAGGUGAUGUUUAACUUUCGUGUGCUACUGCAGUUUGUAUGAUAAAGGUGCUCUCUCAAUGCUCCAUUUGAGAAGUUACAGAUCAUUCAUCUAGCGAUACUGAAGAGCUACUGAAGAGCUAAUGGUGAUAUUACAAGUGGACUUUCAGGUAGGAAGCUCAAUAAUUGUAACACCAAACUCUGACAGAAUUACUCAAUUCAUCAGGACCUGGAUAUUCGCAUUGUGUGAGAGUAUUGUGUUCCUGCUCAUUCCCAUUUGCCAUGUAAAAUUUCUCUCUUAUUACUCCAUUCUCUCAAUAGAUCUUUCCUACAACUUUCAAUAUAUGUCCUGUAGUCCUUUUUUAUGGCCAGUUGUGUACGUUUUACCAUUCUAAUGUUUAUCUUUUGUAAACACCUCCUAUCAAAGGUCCCCUCAAAAUCCUUUGUUACAAGGAGAUCAAUCUCCGUUUCCCCAAGCACCUGAUUACCCAAUGACAGUUUGCUUCUUGUGUGUGAGGCACUCAUCCACUUUUCAUUUCCACUUACCUGCAUGAGUACAGCCCCAACAAUAUUAAAGGAAGUUAACAUCCUCCAGAUGAAGCAGUGUCGGAGUGGUGUCCCAUCCACCACAUUCAACAUUCCCCUCUACACCACUGAGGCAAAGUGGCAUCACUGUGCCUAAGGUGAAGUCACCAUUAUCCUACCUGACCAUAGGGCUAGUUUAACCUGAAGAUUACCACACCCCAGGCAAGGGGAGAGGUUGAGAAUGAGAGUCCAUCUAUUGUCGAUGGAUAUUCUCAAUAUGUACCAGCAAUACCUAAGUCACAUGAAAUUAUAACUUUAAAAAAAACCCUAUCCAUGCAACUAAAAACCCUCUUCGUACAAACCAUUCUGUUAAAUCUCCUCUGCCCCCUAUCAGGGACCCUCCCGUCCUUCACGGUGUGUGGGGGAUCUUUGGUUUGCACAGACUCAGCUCGUCUCUGUUCCUGUCUGUGAUGUCAUCAUGCUGUGACAAUGGCACUGAGCCUCACUCUCUGUGAGGGUGGUAGGCACAGAGAUCCUCAUAGCGUUUAAGGCAUAUUUAGAUGCACACUUGUGAUGCCAACACAGACAAGUGUAUGGGCCAAGUGCUGGAAAAUUAGAUUAGAAUAGUUAGGGUGUGGUUUUUAACCAGCCCAGGCUGUAUGGGCCACAAAGCCUUUUUCUGUGCUGUAGACCUCCGAGACUCUUCACAUAGGAAGAUGCCCAGCAAUAUUUCAAGUUAUUUCAGAAAAUGAGAUAUUAGACUAAAUGACUCAUGAUUGGUCAGUGUUUUCGGGAGUAAAGUGAGGUAUAGAGGGAAAGCGGUUGACUUCAAU